This 253-nucleotide ribosomal RNA is filed under the name uncultured bacterium. RNAcentral describes it as "partial 16S ribosomal RNA". It matches the Rfam family "Bacterial small subunit ribosomal RNA", at positions 524 to 776 of the family's 1533-position model. The record is from RNAcentral.
GACAGAGGGUGCAAACGUUGCUCGGAAUUACUGGGCGUAAAGCGCGUGUAGGCGGACCUGCAAGUCGGACGUGAAAGCCCUGGGCUCAACCCAGGAACUGCAUCCGAAACUGCGGGCCUGGAGUGGUGGAGAGGGAAGCAGAAUUCCUGGUGUAGCGGUGGAAUGCGCAGAUAUCAGGAGGAACACCGAUGGCGAAGGCAGGUCUCUGGGCCACUACUGACGCUGAGAAGCGAAAGCAUGGGGAGCGAACAGG